GAUGAACGCUGGCGGCGUGCUUAACACAUGCAAGUCGAACGGAAAGGCCCAAGCUUGCUUGGGUGCUCGAGUGGCGAACGGGUGAGUAGCACGUGGGUGAUCUGCCCUGCACUUUGGGAUAAGCCUGGGAAACUGGGUCUAAUACCGGAUAGGACCAUCGUUUAGUGUCGGUGGUGGAAAGUUUUUCGGUGUGGGAUGAGCUCGCGGCCUAUCAGCUUGUUGGUGGGGUAAUGGCCUACCAAGGCGUCGACGGGUAGCCGGCCUGAGAGGGUGUACGGCCACAUUGGGACUGAGAUACGGCCCAGACUCCUACGGGAGGCAGCAGUGGGGAAUAUUGCACAAUGGGCGCAAGCCUGAUGCAGCGACGCCGCGUGGGGGAUGACGGCCUUCGGGUUGUAAACUCCUUUCGCCAAGGACGAAGCGUUUUGUGACGGUACUUGGAGAAGAAGCACCGGCUAACUACGUG
This 466-nucleotide ribosomal RNA is filed under the name uncultured bacterium. Its description in RNAcentral is "partial 16S ribosomal RNA". It matches the Rfam family "Bacterial small subunit ribosomal RNA", at positions 28 to 507 of the family's 1533-position model. The record is from RNAcentral.